UUACCUCUAACUGGGACAUAGCCCGAACAAAUUCGGAUUAAUAUCCCAUAAUAUAUUGAAGAGGCAUCUCUUUAAUAUCAAAGCUCAGGCGGUUAGAGAUGGGCAUGCGUGUCAUUAGCUUGUUGGUGAGGUAACGGCUCACCAAGGCUACGAUGACUAGGGGGUCUGAGAGGAUGAUCCCCCACACUGGUACUGAGACACGGACCAGACUCCUACGGGAGGCAGCAGUGAGGAAUAUUGGGCAAUGGACGCAAGUCUGACCCAGCCAUGCCGCGUGCAGGAUGACGGCCCUAUGGGUUGUAAACUGCUUUUAUUAGGAAAGAAUGGUUCCUACGUGUAGGGAUUUGACGGUACCUAAAGAAUAAGCAUCGGCUAACUCCGUGCCAGCAGCCGCGGUAAUACGGAGGAUGCAAGCGUUAUCCGGAUUCAUUGGGUUUAAAGGGUGCGCAGGCGGAAUAUUAAGUCAGUGGUGAAAUCCUGCAGCUUAACUGUAGAACUGCCAUUGAUACUGGUAUUCUUGAAUAUAGUUGAGGUGGGCGGAAUGUGUAAUGUAGCGGUGAAAUGCUUAGAUAUUACACAGAACACCGAUUGCGAAGGCAGCUCACUAAACUAAUAUUGACGCUGAGGCACGAAAGCGUGGGGAGCGAACAGGAUUAGAUACCCUGGUAGUCCACGCUGUAAACUAUGAUCACUCGCUGUUGGCUAUACAUCGUCAGCGGCUGAGCGAAUGCAUUAAGUGAUCCACCAGCGGAGUGCGGUCUCAAGAUUUAAACUCAAAGGAAUUGUCGGGGGCCCGCACAAGCGGAGGAACAUGUGGUUUAAUUCGAUGAUACGCGAGGAACCUUACCUGGGCUUAAAUGCAGGACGACGUUCGCCUAAAGGUGAAUUUCUUCGGACGGACUGCAAGGUGCUGCAUGGCUGUCCUCAGCUCGUGCCGUGAGGUGUCGGGUUAAGUCCCAUAAGGAGCGCAAGCCUUAUCGUUAGUUGCCAGCGGGUAAUGCCGGUGACUCUAACGAAACUGCCGGUGUAAGCCGUGAGGAAGGUGGG
Molecule: ribosomal RNA, 1047 nt
Filed under: uncultured organism
Description: bacterial SSU rRNA
Rfam family: Bacterial small subunit ribosomal RNA
Source: RNAcentral